UACGUAGGGUGCAAGCGUUUAAUCGGAAUUACUGGGCGUAAAGCGUGCGCAGGCGGUUUUGUAAGUCUGUCGUGAAAUCCCCGGGCUCAACCUGGGAAUGGCGAUGGAGACUGCAAGGCUAGAGUUUGGCAGAGGGGGGGUAGAAUUCCACGUGUAGCAGUGAAAUGCGUAGAUAUGUGGAGGAACACCGAUGGCGAAGGCAGCCCCCCUGGGUCAAAAACUGACGCUCAUGCACGAAAGCGUGGGGAGCAAACAGG
Molecule: ribosomal RNA, 257 nt
Filed under: uncultured bacterium
Lineage: Bacteria
Description: partial 16S ribosomal RNA
Rfam family: Bacterial small subunit ribosomal RNA
Source: RNAcentral